GCAGUUAAAAAGCUCGUAGUUGGACCUUGGGUCGUCACGGUCGGUCCGCCUUCUUGGUGUGCACUGGCCCUCACGUCCCUUCUGCCGGCGGCGUGUUCCUGGCCUUAAUUGGCUGGGUCGCGGUUCCGGCGCCGUUACUUUGAAAAAAUUAGAGUGCUCAAAGCAAGCCUACGCUCUGAAUACAUUAGCAUGGAAUAACGCGAUAGGAGUCUGGUCCUGUUCCGUUGGCCUUCGGGACCGGAGUAAUGAUUAAUAGGGACUGUCGGGGGCAUUCGUAUUUCAUUGUCAGAGGUGAAAUUCUUG
RNAcentral lists this ribosomal RNA (303 nucleotides) under Chloropicon mariensis. RNAcentral describes it as "partial Eukaryotic small subunit ribosomal RNA". It matches the Rfam family "Eukaryotic small subunit ribosomal RNA", at positions 615 to 922 of the family's 1831-position model. Lineage: Eukaryota; Viridiplantae; Chlorophyta; Chloropicophyceae; Chloropicales; Chloropicaceae. The record is from RNAcentral.